Molecule: long non-coding RNA, 1308 nt
Filed under: Sus scrofa (pig)
Lineage: Eukaryota; Metazoa; Chordata; Mammalia; Artiodactyla; Suidae
Description: lncRNA (ENSSSCG00035062526.1, ENSSSCG00065076948.1)
Source: RNAcentral
CGGGGCAGGACGAAGGGAGAGGUAACGCUAGGAAAGAUGACAACUCGAAAGGGAGGCAGGGCAAAUGAAGCAGCCGGGACACACAGAGAGAGAAAAGACAGAGGAUCCGCUUAGGGGAUGCACAUAAACGAAAGACAACGAUGAUUUCUCUGCGUGUGACUACGAAGAUGGAGAUGAAGAAGAUACCAGUGAAAAGAAAAGGAGGAAACAAGAAAAGAGAAUAAGUAAGGAGACCAAAUAAGGACUGAGUGCCCAAGGACGGGUCAAGUGCUUAGAAAAUCACCCAGCUGGUUAGGCUGGGCUGGGAGAAGGGCCAUAGCCGGACCCGAAAGGGGACCAUCAGAAAGACAGAGGCAGGCCAUUGAAGUAGCCAGUGACGGAGGUAAAAAUGAAAAAAAAAAAAAAAAAAAAAAAAAAAAAAAAAAUAGAAGAUGGAAAAGGUGAGAGGCAGGAGAGGGAAAACCCAGAGGAGACACUGGCCCAGAAACCUUUUUAACUUUCUGUAAGAAUCUUCAAGGCCCCAAACUAGGCCAGGAGUCUGACUGACAUUUCUGAGCUCACCAGCUGCUGUUUCCUUGAGAGAAUUCUGACAGGAAGGCAUAGAAAUGCAAGCCAACACUGCUAGCACUGGGGAAAAAAAAAAAAAAAGAAAGAAAAAUCCAUGCUCUAAACACCUUAAUGGGGAUGAGGCUGCCAGGGAAGAAGGCACGGAGAGAAGGGACCCGCCGGCAACUUUUCCCCAGCCCUGUGAAUGAGCUGCUUCUGUCAUCUGAAGCCAGCACCGCAGCAUCUAUAAGAGCAGAUAAAGCUCCAGGUUCUGCCUCCCCCAGGUCGAGGGAGCACCGCUGGAAUCAUGCUCCAUCUGGCAGCCAGGCCAGGGGACGUGGAUGAGAGAAAUCGCCCCAGCCUGCAUGACUGGUGUGUGGGAGUGACUUUAGUCCUAACGGUGAACUUGAUUCUGUGUGCUGGGGCUGGAAGCAAAGCAGAGGGGAAGGUGGACUUAAAAGAGGGCCUAUGAAGAGAGGCGAGAGUUCACAGUUGCCUAGGGGCUGGUCAGUAACUCGAAGAGCUCGGGUCUGGGGAGUGAGGGAUGAGAAUUGGACAGCACAGGAUUCGAACUUGCGGCUUGCCCUUCCAGUGCCUUGGUUCAAUAUUUUGAAUGUGUACUGAAACUCAAAAGUAACUCAAAGGAAUUUAUUUCUAAUAUAUCAUUUAUCCCAAUCAUUAAAUGGGAGCAAUUUCUUCUGAUGACCCCAAAGACAUCCCCAUGCAGACAUUGUGAAGUAUUACAUCUUUUUUAAAAACUAA